UACAGAGGUCUCAAGCGUUGUUCGGAUUCAUUGGGCGUAAAGGGUGCGUAGGCGGCGCGGUAAGUCGGGUGUGAAAUCUCGGAGCUUAACUCCGAAACUGCAUUCGAUACUGCCGUGCUUGAGGACUGGAGAGGAGACUGGAAUUUACGGUGUAGCGGUGAAAUGCGUAGAUAUCGUAAGGAAGACCAGUGGCGAAGGCGGGUCUCUGGACAAAACCUGACACUGAGGCACGAAAGCUAGGGGAGCAAACAGG
This 253-nucleotide ribosomal RNA is filed under the name uncultured bacterium. Its description in RNAcentral is "partial 16S ribosomal RNA". It matches the Rfam family "Bacterial small subunit ribosomal RNA", at positions 524 to 776 of the family's 1533-position model. The record is from RNAcentral.